Eriocheir sinensis (Chinese mitten crab) is the source of this 921-nucleotide long non-coding RNA. RefSeq lists it as uncharacterized. The record is from RefSeq and is a predicted model, not a curated record. Lineage: Eukaryota; Metazoa; Arthropoda; Malacostraca; Decapoda; Varunidae. The transcript has 4 exons.
GAUGGAUGUGGAAAAGGAGGAGGAGGAGGAGGAGGAGGAGAUAAAGAAGAAGAAGAAGAAGAAGAAGAGCCGAGAUAUAAGCAUGGGAUCAAGGAAGAAGAGAAACAAGAGGAGGAAGAAGAGUUGGCGGUGGUGAAGAUGUUGUUGCUAGCGGUGGUGGAGGUGGUGUUGCUGGUGGUGGUGGAGGUGGUGUUGCUGGUGGUGGUGGAGGUGGUGUUGCUGGUGGUGGUGGAGGGGGUGUUGCUGGUGGUGGUGGAGGUGGUGUUGCUGGUGGUGGUGAAGAUGUUGUUGCUAGCGGUGGUGGAGGUGGUGUUGCUGGUGGUGGUGGAGGUGGUGUUGCUAGCGGUGGUGGAGGGGGUGUUGCUGGUGGUGGUGGAGGUGGUGUUGCUGGUGGUGGUGGAGGUGGUGUUGCUGGUGGUGGUGGAGGUGGUGUUGCUGGUGGUGGUGGAGGUGGUGUUGCUGGUGGUGGUGGAGGUGGUGUUGCUGGUGGUGGUGGAGGUGGUGUUGCUGGUGGUGGUGGAGGUGGUGUUGCUGGUGGUGGUGGAGGUGGUGUUGCUGGUGGUGGUGGAGGUGGUGUUGCUGGUGGUGGUGGAGGUGGUGAUGAAGGCAGAGGAUGAAACACGUAGCCAAGGAAAUUACGACCCUAACAUAACUAUCUCACAGCACUGUCGGACUCAGCAAAUCUUUACCGCCGAUAUUCUUAAGAGGGGCAGUGAAGCCAUCUAGCCGCCAUCUUGCCCUGCCUGGAACACCCUCACACCAGUACCAGGCGAGGGGCAGUGAAGCCAUCUAGCCGCCAUCUUGCCCUGCCUAAAACACCCUCACACCAGUACCAGGCGAGGGGCAGUGAAGCCAUCUAGCCGCCAUCUUGCCCUGCCUGGAACACCCUCACACCAGUACCAGGCGAGGGGCAGUGAAGCC